GACGUAGGGCGCGAGCGUUGUCCGGAUUUAUUGGGCGUAAAGAGCUCGUAGGCGGCUUGUCGCGUCGUUCGUGAAAACCUGGGGCUCAACUCCAGGCUUGCGGGCGAUACGGGCAGGCUAGAGUUCGGUAGGGGAGACUGGAAUUCCUGGUGUAGCGGUGAAAUGCGCAGAUAUCGGGAGGAACACCAGUGGCGAAGGCGGCGAUCUGGACAGAUAUUGACGCUGAGGUGCGAAAGCGUGGGGAGCAAACAGG
RNAcentral lists this ribosomal RNA (253 nucleotides) under uncultured bacterium. RNAcentral describes it as "partial 16S ribosomal RNA". It matches the Rfam family "Bacterial small subunit ribosomal RNA", at positions 524 to 776 of the family's 1533-position model. The record is from RNAcentral.